AAACGGGCAGCGCUGUAGAAUCGGUGGGCGGGGCUAAACGGGCAGGCAGCAUGGCUGUGUAAUUGCUUAUUGACCUCUUUUAAGGACUUUGCAAAAGGGAAAUUUGUCUUCUGUCGAGGCCUUAGAGCUCAGUGAGGGUGUUUGUAAGACUAAAUGGUAUCAUGUGCUUCGUUUGUAAUAAUUUACAGGUUUAUAUUUAGACUCCCUCUCAGAUUUGACCUCAUUUAGACCACUGUUCGUAAUCUAGUUCUGCUCAUCUUUCUCAGUGUGAACAGAUGAGCCAGUGCUGGACAUGAGCAUCAAGUCAACUUCAUCUCAAAGAGGCUUAACAGAAAAUCAGAAUGUUAAUGUUUAUAAUACCUUAAUAUAUUCGUGCUUUAUAGGCGCAUUUAGCGGAUUAGAGCUGUGUGAUCAUAUAUUUCACAUUUUGCAACAAUGUAAACAAUCACGCAGUUGGGAUUAGCUGUAUAUUGUGGAGUGAUGCUUCACAGAAAUGACGGUUUGCUACAUACCUCAGACGACUUAACAUAAAAUUGCUUCUAUUAUCUUUUUUUUCAUUAAAUAAUAGUUUCCUGAACAAAUUGCACCUAAGACAGUUUUUACAUUAACUUCUAAAUUUAAUUAUAAAACCGUGUUUCUACUCCAGUUUCUGGUUGAAAUGUUUACUUCGAAUACAAGUGCUGUUGUGCACAGAGUGUCUGAGAGUGUGUGUGUGAGUGUGUGUGUGUAAAAGAGAGAGUGAGUGUGUGUGUGUUUGUUAGAGUGAGUGUGUGUGUGUGUGUGUGAGUGUCUGUGAGUGCAUGUGUCUGAGAGUGUGUGUGAGUGCAUGUCUUUGUGAGUGAGUGUGUGCGUGUGGUUGUGUGUGUGUGUAUCCGCUCUGUUAGGAGCCUCUACUGAUCUACAGUCCUCUUGACUGAUCUCAGGUCAGCCGUUCCUGAACCCAGAUGGCAGUGCUGUCGUCUACAGUCCCAGCAUGACCUCACAGGCCUCCAGAUGUCAAUCAUCCGUAGCUCCGCCUCCAGCCGCUCAGCCCACCAAUCACGUCAUGGCACAGCCUCUCUGGUCUGUCCAGCACGCGCCGCUGUCUUACCCACCGGUCCAGCCGUUCACUGUGCAGGACAAUCUGAGCGCUCAGUUCGGUCACAUGAUGCUGGUCCAGCAGGCCUCGGGGGACGGCCGUGACGCUCAUGCAGUCGUUUAUCCGCCGCUGCAUCAGACCGGAUACGUGAUGUCCUCGCCGGGACAGACUGUGGCCAGCCCCUCUUUUCCUGCGGUCAGCCAGCAGCAGCAGCAGCAGCAGCAGGUGUGAGACGCAUCACAUUCUUCACACACAUGGGGUCUGUCCCGAAACAUUUGCACUCCAACACUUGUCUGUUUACGUGACGUACUUGAUCUAAGUGUUCACGAGGGCAUGAAGAGCGCGAGUGUGUGUAGAACAUCUGAUUAUAACUGAUUAGACACAAUACAGACCGAUUCAAAGCAGCUUCACAGUAAUUAACAGAACAAUAACAGAGUUAAUGUUGCAAAUUUCAUGAAUUAUGAAACAAACUCGAUAUUAGCGGUAAAGCUGCUCUGAAUUCAAAUCUAAUUGUGGUGCUUCUAAUUAGCUGUUACACAGCAGUUGCAUACAUUU
Molecule: long non-coding RNA, 1633 nt
Organism: Cyprinus carpio (common carp)
Lineage: Eukaryota; Metazoa; Chordata; Actinopteri; Cypriniformes; Cyprinidae
Source: Ensembl